CAGUAGCCACGGGAAUACGAAGGGGGCUAGCGUUGUUCGGAUUUACUGGGCGUAAAGCGCACGUAGGCGGACUUUUAAGUCAGGGGUGAAAUCCCGGGGCUCAACCCCGGAACUGCCUUUGAUACUGGAAGUCUUGAGUAUGGUAGAGGUGAGUGGAAUUCCGAGUGUAGAGGUGAGAUUCGUAGAUAUUCGGAGGAACACCAGUGGCGAAGGCGGCUCACUGGACCAUUACUGACGCUGAGGUGCGAAAGCGUGGGGAGCAAACAGGAUUAGAUACCCCCGUAGUCCCUGUCUCUUAUAC
RNAcentral lists this ribosomal RNA (301 nucleotides) under uncultured bacterium. Its description in RNAcentral is "partial 16S ribosomal RNA". It matches the Rfam family "Bacterial small subunit ribosomal RNA", at positions 509 to 807 of the family's 1533-position model. The record is from RNAcentral.